Molecule: ribosomal RNA, 154 nt
Filed under: Acanthosepion pharaonis
Lineage: Eukaryota; Metazoa; Mollusca; Cephalopoda; Sepiida; Sepiidae
Description: Sepia pharaonis 5.8S ribosomal RNA
Rfam family: 5.8S ribosomal RNA
About the family: 5.8S ribosomal RNA (5.8S rRNA) is a component of the large subunit of the eukaryotic ribosome. It is transcribed by RNA polymerase I as part of the 45S precursor that also contains 18S and 28S rRNA. Functionally, it is thought that 5.8S rRNA may be involved in ribosome translocation.
Source: RNAcentral
ACCCUGGACGGGGGAUCACUCGGCUCGUCCGUCGAUGAAGAGCGCGGCCAGCCGCGAGAACUGAUGCGAAUUGCAGGACUCAGUGAACAUCGACACCUCGAACGCACAUUGCGGCCUCGAGAUCCCUUGUAUCGGGGCCCCGUCUGGUCGAGAG